Callithrix jacchus (white-tufted-ear marmoset) is the source of this 108-nucleotide small nuclear RNA. NCBI's taxonomy places the organism in Eukaryota, Metazoa, Chordata, Mammalia, Primates, Cebidae. The record is from Ensembl.
GUGCUGCUCAUUUUGGCAGCAUGUAUACGAAAAUUGGAACAAUACGAGGAGAUUAGCAUGCCCCCUGCUUAGGAUGACAUGCAAAUCUGUGAAGCAUUCGAUAUUUUU